Molecule: ribosomal RNA, 362 nt
Filed under: uncultured bacterium
Lineage: Bacteria
Description: bacterial SSU rRNA
Rfam family: Bacterial small subunit ribosomal RNA
Source: RNAcentral
GACGAACGCUGGCGGCGUGCCUAACACAUGCAAGUCAACUUGACUGAAGGAGCAAUCUGACAGUAGAGUGGCGCAAGGGUGCGUAACGCGUAAGUAACUUGCCCCAAGGUAAGGAAUAACGUCGAGAAAUCGGCGCUAAUACCUCAUAAUGCAGCGGAUCCGCAUGGAUAUGUUGUUAAAGGUUUACCGCCUUGGGAUAGGCUUGCGUCUGAUUAGCUAGUUGGUGUGGUAACGGCACACCAAGGCUACGAUCAGUAACUGGUCUGAGAGGAUGAUCAGUCACACUGGAACUGAGACACGGUCCAGACUCCUACGGGAGGCAGCAGUGAGGAAAUAUUGGGUCGAAUAGCUCGAAAGAAGUA